AUUGAACGCUGGCGGCAUGCCUUACACAUGCAAGUCGAACGGCAGCACGGGAGCAAUCCUGGUGGCGAGUGGCGAACGGGUGAGUAAAGUAUCGGAACGUGCCCAGUCGUGGGGGAUAACGUAGCGAAAGUUACGCUAAUACCGCAUACGAUCUAUGGAUGAAAGCGGGGGAUCGCAAGACCUCGCGCGAUUGGAGCGGCCGAUGUCAGAUUAGGUAGUUGGUGGGGUAAAGGCUCACCAAGCCAACGAUCUGUAGCUGGUCGGAGAGGACGACCAGCCACACUGGGACUGAGACACGGCCCAGACUCCUACGGGAGGCAGCAGUGGGGAAUUUUGGACAAUGGGCGCAAGCCUGAUCCAGCAAUGCCGCGUGCAGGAAGAAGGCCUUCGGGUUGUAAACUGCUUUUGUACGGAACGAAACGGUCCGGGUUAAUACCCUGGGCUAAUGACGGUACCGUAAGAAUAAGCACCGGCUAACUACGUGCCAGCCGCCGCCGUAA
RNAcentral lists this ribosomal RNA (500 nucleotides) under uncultured bacterium. Its description in RNAcentral is "partial 16S ribosomal RNA". It matches the Rfam family "Bacterial small subunit ribosomal RNA", at positions 29 to 523 of the family's 1533-position model. The record is from RNAcentral.